Non-coding RNA from Pelobates cultripes (western spadefoot toad), 1399 nucleotides. NCBI's taxonomy places the organism in Eukaryota, Metazoa, Chordata, Amphibia, Anura, Pelobatidae. The record is from the annotation of a GenBank genome assembly.
AAUCAUCUAAAGAUGUCCCUAAUAGUGCUGUGUCACGUACUCCGAAAGUCAAGUCUCAGGGUCCUCAAUUAGGCCAAACUCCAUGCCAGUUUGUUCAAGAAACUAUUGAGCCAUUUUGUACAGAUUUAGUUGCAUGGUCAGAGAAUUGUGAUACAAUGAUUUGUAAUCCAUGGCCAAGAGAGGGUUCUUUUAGUGAUUUUCAUUUGCAAAUUCUGAAAGGUUAUGUGUAUUGAAGGUUAAAAAAAAUCAGGUGGAGAUCCAAAAUGGGAUAAAAAGUAUAUGCAUAAUGCAGCUACAGGAUGGUUAAAGUGUGCUCAGUUAUGGUUUGUUCCUGAUCAGACUACAAAGUAUGUUCAGGCUUCUGCAGCAUCACCUGCUUAUGUGCUUUUUGUUGUACCAAUAAAUAUCAGUUUGGAUGAAUUAAAAAAAAGAUUUUUCGGAAUAUUGAUACUGAUGAAAUUUUAAUGGCGAUUGGUAGAGGGAAAAGUCAUGUUGGAUAGAUGGUUGUGAAUCCUUCUGCAAUGGUGAGAUCCACUGCAGAAAAUGUUGAUGUUGGUAUGAAAAAAUGAGAAAGUGACUAGAAAGUCUGUGGAUGUUGGUGCAGGGAAUAAGCAAGUUGAUAGUGUUUAAGUGGUGGAUGAGGGUUAUAAGAGUCAUGGUGUACUAGUUCCCAGUCAUGUGUCUGCUUCUGCCUAUCCUUUUGUAGUUGCUGGUGAGACUGUUAUAAUUAAGCCUCCCUAUGGAUCACAUUUGGUGUCUCUUGGGACUCAGUGUCCUGAUCUGUUUAAGCUUCCAGAAGGCGUUAUUAAUUAUUUAAAAAGAGUAACAAUGGAUCAACAGUUUGGAGGGGCAGAUUUUUGUUUUUUUAUUGUCUGUUGUUUUUAAAUAUGCUGAUAUUUCACCAACAGAAAUGGCUCUUAAUUUGGACACUAAACAUGGUAGACCUGGUACUGAUGUAGGUUGGUUCUGUGUAUUUUGGGCUGAGCAAGAUUUUGUGUCAGAGUUUUGAAAUCAGUUAUUGGUUUAUUUUCCUUUGUGGUUUUGAAGUUGUACAAAUACCUAAUAGUGUAAUAGCUGCAGGUUCUUAACCUUUUGUCUCAAAGCAGGCGGAGUUGAUUGCUCUUACACAAGCUUGUAUUGCUUUUAAAGAUCAAGAUGUGACUAGUUAUACUGAUUUGAGAUAUGCCUUUGGAGUGGUUCAUGAUUUUGGUGUCAUUUGGCAGGCUAGAGGCUUUGUUGCAGCUAAUGGUCGAACUGUUUCUCAUUUUGCAUUAAUUGAUGGAUUAUUGAGGGCCAUACUGUUACCUAGAUCUUUAGCUAUUGUGAAGUGCAAGGGCCAUGAUACAGAUCACUCCAUGGUCAGAGAUGGUAAUGAUUUUGCAGAUUUGGUGGCGAAAAG